AUAGUACUCCUUCCGUCCAUAAAUACUUGUCAUCAAAAUAGAUUAAAAUGGAUGUAUCUAGAACUAAAAUAUAUCUAGAUACAUCCCCUUUUAUUUAUCUCCUUUUAUUUAUUUUGAUGACAAGUAUUUCCGGACGGAGGGAAUAUUUU
Non-coding RNA from Triticum aestivum (bread wheat), 149 nucleotides. Lineage: Eukaryota; Viridiplantae; Streptophyta; Magnoliopsida; Poales; Poaceae. The record is from Rfam.